GGUCAAGCGAACAAGUGCAUGUGGUGGAUGCCUUGGCGAUCACAGGCGAUGAAGGACGCGGUAGCCUGCGAAAAGCCCCGGGGAGCUGGCAAACAAGCUUUGAUCCGGGGAUGUCCGAAUGGGGAAACCCACUCCGUAUGGAGUAUCCAUGACUGAAUACAUAGGUCAUGUGAAGCGAACGCGGUGAACUGAAACAUCUAAGUAACCGCAGGAAAAGAAAUCAACCGAGAUUCCCAAAGUAGUGGCGAGCGAAAUGGGAUGAGCCUUGUACUCUUUAUUCGUAUUGUUAGCCGAACGCUCUGGAAAGUGCGGCCAUAGCAGGUGAUAGCCCUGUAGGCGAAAACAGUAUGAAAGAACUAGGUGUACGACAAGUAGGGCGGGACACGUGAAAUCCUGUCUGAAGAUGGGGGGACCAUCCUCCAAGGCUAAAUACUCGUGAUCGACCGAUAGUGAACCAGUACCGUGAGGGAAAGGCGAAAAGAACCCCGGGAGGGGAGUGAAAUAGAUCCUGAAACCGCAUGCAUACAAACAGUCGGAGCCUCGUAAGGGGUGACGGCGUACCUUUUGUAUAAUGGGUCAGCGACUUACGUUCAGUAGCAAGCUUAACCGUAUAGGGCAGGCGUAGCGAAAGCGAGUCCGAAUAGGGCGUUCAGUUGCUGGGCGUAGACCCGAAACCAGGUGAUCUAUCCAUGGCCAGGAUGAAGGUGCGGUAACACGUACUGGAGGUCCGAACCCACUAACGUUGAAAAGUUAGGGGAUGAGCUGUGGAUAGGGGUGAAAGGCUAAACAAACCUGGAAAUAGCUGGUUCUCUCCGAAAACUAUUUAGGUAGUGCCUCGUGUCUCACCUUCGGGGGUAGAGCACUGUCAUGGUUGGGGGGUCUAUUGCAGAUUACCCCGCCAUAGCAAACUCCGAAUACCGAAGAGUGCAAUCACGGGAGACAGACAUCGGGUGCUAACGUCCGGUGUCAAGAGGGAAACAACCCAGACCGCCAGCUAAGGUCCCCAAAUAUGGCUAAGUGGGAAACGAAGUGGGAAGGCUAAAACAGUCAGGAGGUUGGCUUAGAAGCAGCCACCCUUUAAAGAAAGCGUAAUAGCUCACUGAUCGAGUCGUCCUGCGCGGAAGAUGUAACGGGGCUAAGCCAUAUACCGAAGCUGCGGAUGCGAGCUUGCUCGCAUGGUAGGAGAGCGUUCCGUAAGCCUGCGAAGGUGUCUUGUAAAGGAUGCUGGAGGUAUCGGAAGUGCGAAUGCUGACAUGAGUAGCGAUAAAGGGGGUGAAAGGCCCCCUCGCCGUAAGCCCAAGGUUUCCUACGCAACGUUCAUCGGCGUAGGGUGAGUCGGCCCCUAAGGCGAGGCAGAAAUGCGUAGCUGAUGGGAAGCAGGUCAAUAUUCCUGCACCGUCGUUAGAUGCGAUGGGGGGACGGAUCGCGGAAGGUUGUCCGGGUGUUGGACGUCCCGGUCGCUGCAUUGGAGAAGGCGCUUAGGCAAAUCCGGGCGCAGGAUUCAAGGGUGUGGCGCGAGCGACUUCGGUCGCGAAGCAAUUGGAAGUGGUUCCAAGAAAAGCCUCUAAGCUUCAGUCUAACGAUGACCGUACCGCAAACCGACACAGGUGGGCGAGAUGAGUAUUCUAAGGCGCUUGAGAGAACUCGGGAGAAGGAACUCGGCAAAUUGGUACCGUAACUUCGGGAUAAGGUACGCCCUUGUAGCUUGACCAGCCUGCGCUGGAAGGGUGAAGGGGUUGCAAUAAACUGGUGGCUGCGACUGUUUAAUAAAAACACAGCACUCUGCAAACACGAAAGUGGACGUAUAGGGUGUGACGCCUGCCCGGUGCCGGAAGAUUAAAUGAUGGGGUGCAAGCUCUUGAUUGAAGUCCCGGUAAACGGCGGCCGUAACUAUAACGGUCCUAAGGUAGCGAAAUUCCUUGUCGGGUAAGUUCCGACCUGCACGAAUGGCGUAACGAUGGCCACACUGUCUCCUCCCGAGACUCAGCGAAGUUGAAGUGUUUGUGAUGAUGCAAUCUACCCGCGGCUAGACGGAAAGACCCCAUGAACCUUUACUGUAGCUUUGCAUUGGACUUUGAACCGAUCUGUGUAGGAUAGGUGGGAGGCUAUGAAACCGGAACGCUAGUUUCGGUGGAGCCGUCCUUGAAAUACCACCCUGGUUUGUUUGAGGUUCUAACCUUGGUCCGUGAUCCGGAUCGGGGACAGUGCAUGGUAGGCAGUUUGACUGGGGCGGUCUCCUCCCAAAGGGUAACGGAGGAGUACGAAGGUACGCUAGGUACGGUCGGAAAUCGUGCUGAUAGUGCAAUGGCAUAAGCGUGCUUAACUGCGAGACCGACAAGUCGAGCAGGUGCGAAAGCAGGUCAUAGUGAUCCGGUGGUUCUGUAUGGAAGGGCCAUCGCUCAACGGAUAAAAGGUACUCUGGGGAUAACAGGCUGAUACCGCCCAAGAGUUCAUAUCGACGGCGGUGUUUGGCACCUCGAUGUCGGCUCAUCUCAUCCUGGGGCUGUAGCCGGUCCCAAGGGUAUGGCUGUUCGCCAUUUAAAGAGGUACGUGAGCUGGGUUUAAAACGUCGUGAGACAGUUUGGUCCCUAUCUGCCGUGGGCGUUGGAUAUUUGAAGGGGGCUGCUCCUAGUACGAGAGGACCGGAGUGGACGAACCUCUGGUGUACCGGUUGUGACGCCAGUCGCAUCGCCGGGUAGCUAUGUUCGGAAGAGAUAACCGCUGAAAGCAUCUAAGCGGGAAACUCGCCUUAAGAUGAGAUAUCCCUGGAGGCUUGACCUCCUUGAAGGGUCGUUCGAGACCAGUUGAUAGGUCGGGUGUGUAAGCGCAGUAAUGCGUUCAGCUAACCGAUACUAAUUGCCCGUAAGGCUUGAUCCU
Molecule: ribosomal RNA, 2877 nt
Filed under: Burkholderia multivorans
Lineage: Bacteria; Pseudomonadati; Pseudomonadota; Betaproteobacteria; Burkholderiales; Burkholderiaceae
Description: 23S ribosomal RNA
Rfam family: Bacterial large subunit ribosomal RNA
Source: RNAcentral